RNAcentral lists this ribosomal RNA (253 nucleotides) under uncultured bacterium. RNAcentral's name for it is "partial 16S ribosomal RNA". It matches the Rfam family "Bacterial small subunit ribosomal RNA", at positions 524 to 776 of the family's 1533-position model. The record is from RNAcentral.
UACGUAGGGUGCGAGCGUUAAUCGGAAUUACUGGGCGUAAAGCGUGCGCAGGCAGCGCGUUAAGACAGGUGUGAAAGCCCCGAGCUUAACUUGGGAAUUGCGCUUGUGACUGGCGAGCUGGAGUGUGGCAGAGGGAGGUGGAAUUCCACGUGUAGCAGUGAAAUGCGUAGAGAUGUGGAGGAACACCGAUGGCGAAGGCAGCCUCCUGGGCCAGCACUGACGCUCAUGCACGAAAGCGUGGGGAGCAAACAGG